Molecule: ribosomal RNA, 612 nt
Filed under: uncultured bacterium
Lineage: Bacteria
Description: bacterial SSU rRNA
Rfam family: Bacterial small subunit ribosomal RNA
Source: RNAcentral
AAGUCGUACGUGAAAGUCCUUCGGGAUGAGUAAAGUGGCGCACGGGUGAGUAACACGUGAGUUAUCUGCCUUUGGGUGGGGAAUACCAACCGGAAACGGUUGUUAAUACCGCAUAAUGCUUGCGCUGUAAUGGCGUAUGUUAAAGCGGGGGAUCAGCAAUGACCUCGCGCCUGAAGAGGAGCUCGCGGCAGAUUAGGUAGUUGGUGAGGUAAUGGCUCACCAAGCCUGCGAUCUGUAACCGGCCUGAGAGGGCGGUCGGUCACACUGACACUGACAUACGGGUCAGACUCCUACGGGAGGCAGCAGUCGGGAAUUUUGGGCAAUGGGCGAAAGCCUGACCCAGCAACGCCGCGUGAAGGAUGAAGCAUUUCGGUGUGUAAACUUCGCAAGAAUAGGAAGAAUAAGUUUGAACAAAUAAUUCAAACGAUGACGGUACUAUUUAUAAGCUCCGGCUAACUUCGUGCCAGCAGCCGCGGUAAUACGAGGGGAGCAAGCGUUGUUCGGAUUUACUGGGCGUAAAGGGUGCGUAGGCGGCACCACAAGUCACUUGUGAAAUCUUUGGGCUUAACCCAAAGCGGCCAAGUGAUACUGUGGAGCUAGAGUGCAGAAGGG